GGGGAUGUGGUUCAAUGGUAGAGUGCUUGCCUAGCAUGCAUGAGGCCCUGGGUUCAAUUCCCAGCACCACA
RNAcentral lists this transfer RNA (71 nucleotides) under Marmota monax (woodchuck). RNAcentral describes it as "tRNA.Ala". It matches the Rfam family "tRNA". From Rfam's summary of the family: Transfer RNA (tRNA) molecules are approximately 80 nucleotides in length. Their secondary structure includes four short double-helical elements and three loops (D, anti-codon, and T loops). The record is from RNAcentral. Lineage: Eukaryota; Metazoa; Chordata; Mammalia; Rodentia; Sciuridae.